UGGGGAAUAUUGGACAAUGGGCGAAAGCCUGAUCCAGCCAUGCCGCGUGUGUGAAGAAGGUCUUCGGAUUGUAAAGCACUUUAAGUUGGGAGGAAGGGCAGUAAGCGAAUACCUUGCUGUUUUGACGUUACCGACAGAAUAAGCACCGGCUAACUCUGUGCCAGCAGCCGCGGUAAUACAGAGGGUGCAAGCGUUAAUCGGAAUUACUGGGCGUAAAGCGCGCGUAGGUGGUUCGUUAAGUUGAAUGUGAAAGCCCCGGGCUCAACCUGGGAACUGCAUCAAAAACUGGCGAGCUAGAGUAGGGCAGAGGGUGGUGGAAUUUCCUGUGUAGCGGUGAAAUGCGUAGAUAUAGGAAGGAACACCAGUGGCGAAGGCGACCACCUGGGCUAAUACUGACACUGAGGUGCGAAAGCGUGGGGAGCAAACAGG
This 429-nucleotide ribosomal RNA is filed under the name Pseudomonadota bacterium. RNAcentral describes it as "Proteobacteria bacterium partial 16S ribosomal RNA". It matches the Rfam family "Bacterial small subunit ribosomal RNA", at positions 355 to 776 of the family's 1533-position model. Lineage: Bacteria; Pseudomonadati; Pseudomonadota. The record is from RNAcentral.